Mirounga angustirostris (Northern elephant seal) is the source of this 15274-nucleotide RNA transcript. It is a transcript of the gene named splicing factor C9orf78-like, with no coding region annotated. The transcript has a single exon. NCBI's taxonomy places the organism in Eukaryota, Metazoa, Chordata, Mammalia, Carnivora, Phocidae. The record is from RefSeq and is a predicted model, not a curated record.
UACCUAUAAUCUACAUAAAAAUAGUUUUUUGAGGGACACCUGGGUGGCUCAUUUGGUUGGGCGGCUGUCUUCAGCUCAGUUUAUAAUCCCAGGGUCCUGGGAUCGAGCCCUGCGUCCGUCGGGCUCCCUGCUCGGCGGGGAACCUGCUUCUCCCUCUCCCUCUGUCUGCUGCUCUGCCUGCUUGUGUUCUCUCUCUCUCUGUCAAAUAAAUAAAAUCUUAAAAAAAAAAAAGUUGUUUGAGAGUAUCAGAGAUUUCUAAGAAUAUAAAACAUCUUGAGAUCAGAAUACUUCAGAACCAUGGAAUAUAUGAUCUCUUACACACACACACACACAGGCACACUCACACAGACAUGCACACAUGCACACACACGCAGAAGGAACAAGUAAAUAUCUGCUGUUUUAUAUCCUGUAAUUGUUUCAUCUGUGAUAUUCUUUUCUCCCGGUGGGAUUGAGUGCACUUUGAAGGCAUGAGUCUUUUGUAUCUUAGGCUGAAAAAAGUAAGCUAAAUGUUAACCAGUUAAUUGAUGAGGAUGAAGCUCCAUCUCCACACAUUUGCAUGCUCUUGGAGGCAUCCAAAAUUUCAAAGGAGUUUCAGAUCUAAAUUUUAUCUGUAUGACAUUUAAUUUGAAUGGUUUGGUUGUUUCGUUAGUCAAAAAUGAUUAGUUUCUAACAUGUAGUGGACAUGUGUAAUUUUUUUUUAAAGAUUUUAUUUAUUUAUUUGACACAGAGAGAGACACAGCAAGAGGGGUGUGGGAGAGGGAGAAGCAGGUUUCCCACUGAGCAGGGACCCCGAUGCGGGGCUCGAUCCCAGGACCCUGGGAUCACGACCUGAGCUGAAAGCAGACGCUUAACAACUGAGCCACCCAGGCGCCCCGAUGUGUGUAAUUUUUAAGCUAAAUUAUAUAUUUUCUCAUUAAUUUGUGCAUGAUCUUUAUGUCAGAAUUGAUUCUUUUCUGGGGCACCUGGCUGGCUCAGUCAGUGUGACUCUUGAUCUCGAGGUCAUGAGUUUGAGCCCCAUAGUGGGUGUAGAGAUUACUUAAAAAAUAAAAUGUUAAGGCGCCAGAAGCAGCCCCGGCCACUGUACAGGGACCCGGCGGCCGGACCGCGGGGCCAGCGCAACCAUGCCGGUCACUGGCAAGAGUUUCUGCCAGCGCCCGGCCAACUCAGAGUUGGAGGAAGAUGAGCAGGAAUCAGAGGAGGUUCGAUUAAAACUAGAAGAGACCCGCGAGGUGCAAAACUUGAGGAAGAAGCCCAAUGGGGUGAGUGCUGUGGCCCUGCUGGUGGGAGAGAAGGUACAAGAAGAGACCACCCUAGGGGAUGAUCCCCUUCAGAUGAAGACAGGGCAGUGUGGUGGACAUGAAGAAACUGAAGGAAAGAGGCAAAAAUAAGAUCAGCGAAGAGGAAAACCUCCACCUGCAGACAUCAUUUUCUGCAGAAACCAACCGAAGGGAUGAGGAUGCUGACAUGAUGAAGUACAUUGAGACAGAGCUGAAGAAGAGGAAAGGGAUUGUAGAACACGAGGAACAGAAAGUCAAGCCGAAGAAUGCAGAGGACUGUCUUUACGAACUUCCUGAAAACAUCCGUGUUUCCUCAGCAAAGAAGACCAAAGAGAUGCUUUCCAACCAGAUGCUGAGCGGCAUCCCCGAGGUGGACCUAGGCAUCGAUGCUAAAAUAAAAAAUAUCAUUUCCAUGGAGGAUGCCAAGGCCCGUCUCCUGGCAGAGCAGCAGAACAAGAGGAAAAACAGUGAGACAUCUUUCGUGCCCAUGAACAUGGCCGUGAAUUACGUGCAGCACAACUGAUUUUAUCACAAGGAGCUCAAUGCCCCCAUAGAGAGAAACAAAAAAGAGCCCAAAGCCCGACCCUUAAGAGUGGGUGACAUGGAGAAGCCAGAGCCUGAGCGAUCCCCUUCUAACCGCAAGCGUCCUGCUAACGAGAAGGCCACCGACAACUAUCACUAUGAGAAGUUCAAGAAGAUGAACAGACGGUACUAAGGGUGGCGGAAGGGAGAAGUGCGGAAUGGGAUGUAAAUAGUGCUGUCCCUUCCAUACCCCUCCCCCGACCCCAACAAAACGCUUCCUGGACAGAAGUUUGCUUAUUUGCUAGCAGACCAUUCCAAAAACAGACUCUAUUAGCCCUGCUGCUUACCUGCUGGAUUUUUCAGGCACCGCAUUUUUAACCUUUUGAAACAAAACAAUGUGUGGUUUCCCUAUUUGAGGGCAAACUCUAUUCUUGUGAACAUUAUUAAAUCUUGUUUGUAAAUAUGUUGACUUUCUCUUAAUAUUGGCCCCAGGGCAGGAGGAAAUAGCUGUGUUCAGAGUGAGAUGAAACCCUUUAGAAUGUGCUGUUAAUUAUUAAUAUAUGCAAUCGUGUGUUCUACGUUCAAAUACCUGGAGUUCAGAAAUGCAUCCUGCACUGUUUAUGCUGGAUCCAGCUGACAGCAGAAAAAUCUAGGGUGGAAUCAAAGGGACACUGGCAUUUUCUGACUUUUACAAAGUUACCUAUUUCUUUUCAUUAAGAAAGAAAAAGUUUCUAUCAUUUUCAGCACUUAAGUAUUAAAUAUGAAACAAAUCCAAAAAAAUAAAUAAGUAAAAUGUUAAAAUUGCUUCUUUCCUAUUCAAAGAGUAGUUGUUGUAUUCUUUCUUUUAGUUCAGUACACAUAAAACAGGUUGUUCAGGGGCGCCUGGGUGACUCAGUCAUUAAGUGUCUGCCUUCGGCUCAGGUCAUGAUCCCAGGGUCCUGGGAUCGAGCCCCCGCAUCGGGCUCCCUGUUCGGCGGGAAGCCUGCUACUCCCUCUCCUGCUCCCCCUGCUUGUGUUCCCUCUCUCACUAUGUCUCUAUCUGUCAAAUAAAUAAAAUCUUUAAAAAAAAAAAAAAAAGGUUGUUCAGCCUCUAUUUGAUCUAAUAACUUGCGAUCUUAAAUUUUAACUUCCUAAAGAGCAAACUCCAUGUAUUUGAAAUUUGUUUUGAUCAAGUCUUGAUUGCUUGUCAUUCUGCAUGGAAUCCUGAAAUAUUGCUAACCCUGGAGUAUGUCAUUUGACUUACCUUUUGAACCAAUAACUCUUAAGAUCUAUUUAUUUAUUUUGGAGAGAGAGAGCACACGAACGAGCGAAUGGGGGGGAGGGGUAGAGGAAGAGGGAGAGAGAGAGAAUCCCAAGCAGACUCCCCGCUGAGUGCAGAGCCCUACACAGGGCUUGAUCCCACAACCCUGAGCUCAUGACCUGAGCUGAAAUCAACAGUCUGAUGCUUAACUGACUGAGCCACCCAGGUGCCCCCUGAGCCAAUAACUCUUAUUCAUAGUCUUUUGGCUCUUGUUUAUAUUUGCUUUUAGACAUUUCAUUUCUUCAGAAAUAUGUUACAAGGUAUUCUGAACUGAUUCCACAUAACAAGAAAACUUAAAUUCAGGGAUUUUUCUAUUUUUCUCCCAUGUAUCUUAGGUCAUUAUAUUUUUACGAUUCCUUGUUAGUAUUUACUCUUUAACUCAAAUCUCAAAUUCAUUUGACCGAAAGAGUUUCUAGGUAAUCUUGAAAAAUAUCUUCAGCUGUUUGUUUUAUACAUUUGUGCCUUUACUGAGAUAAUGUUAAAAUACUUCCUUUCACAUACACAGUCAUAAAUACACAUACAUACUACAUAAUACUUGUAUUUCGUAGUGUUGGUUCUGGAUGAGACUGUCACUUGCAGAUUUUCCUGUGGGAUAUAGAGGCUGGGAUAGAGAAUUUAACAUUGCUAGAACAUGAGAAUGGUUAUCUGUAAUGAGCUGCCAUAUCCAAGGGGUUGGAAACGAUGAAAUUUGCCAUUGUUAAAACUGUUCCUUUUAGAUGUUGUUACUUUUGAAGGAAUUACUUUUGGGUGUUUAUUCCGGUGAUAGUGACAUUAAUCAGGAUGUUGCUAAAACUUCUGUUUUGGAAUUACUUUAGCAUGGUGAGAGGUAAAAAUAAAGGUGGCCUAGCUCCUGUACACAGCGAUUCUCAGUGGCUAGUUAAAUACAAUUCCAUAUGUUGAGUUUUAUAAGAGGGUUGUAACCAAACUUGUGGGUUGUCAGAAGAGGGAGAGAACAAUUUGGGGGAAGUAGGGAAAGAAUGGUGCCAGGUUUCAUGGAAAGGAGUUGCAAUUCGAGCCAGGUAGUAUUUUGAAAGGAGAGAUUGAGGUGGGAAAACAGUCCAGGGUUAUGCUUCUUGAAUAAGGGCAUAGAGGUAAAAACAGCACAUCAUCGCCCUUGGGUUUCUCGUGUUCAGCACAAUGUCUGGCAUGUAACAGGUGCUUACACCAUACACAAAAAUUAACUCAGAGUGGACCAUAGCCCUUAAAUAGAAGAGCAAAUACUGUACAAUACUUAGAAGAAAAUAUAGGAGUAAAUCUUUGGCAACAAAAUAAAGACAGACAAAUUAGACUUCAUCAAAAUUUAAAACUCUUGGGCUUCAAAGGCCACCAUCAAGAAAGUGAAAGGAAAGCCCACAGGAUGGGAGAAAAUAUUUGCAAAUCUUAUAGCCGAUAAGGGACUACUUAGUAUUUAGAAUAUGUAAAGAAUUCUUAACAGCUCAGUCACAAAAAAGACAAAUAGUCCAGUUCUUAAAAAAGGGGUGAAUGUCGUGUAACCUGGUUCUGUAGCUUAUGUAUCUUACAUAGCUGUCCGGCCUCGGGCAGGUCGUUUUGCCUCUCCAGGCCUCAAUUGUCUCAUCUGCAAAACGGGAGUGACAGUAGAACCUACAACCCAGGGUUGUUGUCAGGAUUAAAUGAAUGAGUCCAGGUAGGAUCCUUGGCACACAGCAGGUGUUUAGUAAGUUUUAGCUACUACAGUUAUGCUGUGCAGUUCGUGUUUGGGAGAGAGAUUCUGGGACAACAGGAGUCGGUUCAGAAGAUGGAGAUGUCUCCGUGCCCUUGGGUGACGGGGAAAACUUCCUGCAGGAGAGGUAUGACAUCAGGUGAAGGGGGAGAGCUAACGGGAGCCACCAGGAACUGACCAUAGUUGAGCAGUGACAUCAGGAAGAAUCUUUAAUCUGUCUGGGAACACCUCAGUAGUUAUUUGGCACCAAAGGAUGAAUCUCAACUCUGAAGGGGGGCCCUCACUUUUCAGCAUGCUCCCUGAUCUUAGAAAUAUACCAGGGCUGAGGGUGUCCAAGAGCCCCUGAGAUGAACCAACCCAGAGUGACCACCAAGAGCAAAGGAGUGGCUCAUGUUGGCAUUUUUCUAGUUGGUCAGCCAGUUUUCCUGACUGCCAGACAUCCCACUAGGCCUUGGGUGAGGCAGUGAUUGGGAUGCUCACCAAUCCCAUCUCCUCUGCCUGAUUACACAGCUAAGCACUAUUUUCCGUCAUGCUCGCAUCUGGCGAGGUGCAGGAGCAUCAGACUAGCUCUAUCCAGUGGGAUAUAGGUGGAAGUGAUGUCACCACCCCCACCCCCGUGCCAUCUUCCACAUCUCUCUCAUCGCAUGCUAGCUGGAUGCAGGAAAUCUGGUGUGAGACUCCAGGGUCCCACAGUAUGGCAGUGCAUGGGCCUCUGAAUCCUCUCAAUGAAAGCCGGCUGGGUACCCUGUUGGACUGUGGUGCAAGAGAGCAGUAAAGCUUUUACUACAUUAAAAAAGAAAAUGGGCAAAGGAUCAGAAUAGACAUUUCUCCAAAGCAGACAAUACAAGUGACCAAUAAGCACAUCGAAAGAUGCUCAACAUCAUGGUCAGGAAGUGCAAAUUUCAGCCGCAGUGAAGUUUACACCACCAAGAUGACUGUCAUCAAAAGGCAGAAAAUCACAAGUGUUGGUGAGAGGGUGCAGAAAUUAGUAUUCUCAUUCAGCCCAUGGUAAAAAUGUAAAAUUGUGCAGCUGUUUUGGAAAACAACCUGCAGUCCCUCAGAAAGCUAAAGGUGAAAUAACCAUAUGACCAGCAUAUGGUAAUACUCCCAAAGAAUUGAGAACAGAAGUCCAUGUAAAACGUGAUUAUUCAUAGCACCUUUAUUCCUAAUAGCCAAAAAAGGGUGACAGUCCAAAUGUCCAUCAACUAAAUGGACAAAUCCAAGGUGGCUAUCCAUACAGUGGAAUAUUACUGAACAAUAAAAGGGGACGAAGUAAUGAUACGAGCUUCAACAUGGAUGAGCCUUGAAAAUGUUACACUAAGUUAAAGAAGCCAGUAACAAAAGGCUGCAUGUCAUUUAUAUGAAAGGUCCAGAGUAGGCACAUCUUACAGAGACAGAUCGCAGAUGGGUCGGACGGGGGCGUGAAGCGGAAUGAGGAGUGACUGCUGACGAGUACAGGUUUCGUUUGCGGAUGAUGAAGACGCUUUAAGACUAGGUAGCGGUGAGGUUGCACAACUCUCUGAAUAUACUAACACCAUUGAAUUGUACACUUGAAAUCAGUGAAAUAUAUGUUGUGUGAAUUUUAUCUUGAUGAAGCCGUUUUAAAAAAAGUAGUGCUUAGGGCGCCUGGGUGGCUCAGAUGGUUAAGCGUCUGCCUUCGGCUCAGGUCAUGAUCCCGGGGUCCUGGGAUCGAGUCCCGCAUCGGGCUCCUGGCUCAGCGGGGAGCCUCCUUCUCCCUCUGCUUCUCUCUCUCUCUCUCUCUCUCUCUGUCUCUCAUGAAUAAAUAAAUAAAAUCUUUAAAAAAAAAAAAGUAGUGCUUAAAUAAAAAAAAAAGGCAGUGCUUGGAGCACUAGGAGAAAAGAACUGUUUGUUGAAUAUUAGUAAUAGAUAGAUACCAGCUUGGCUGGCAGUGUGGCAUGAGGAUGACUGUAUGAGAAUAAAGUUCAUACUUUGAAAUAGUUAAUAUUUUCGAGGAGAGAAAAUGUUUCUUGAGCAGUGAUUUGACUAAAGCCUCUAGCAAGUGAGCAAGUCAGUUAGAUAUGCAACUGCAUAAAGGUGUGUAUUUUUCAGCCUGGCUUAUGAACAAAAAAGUACAAAACAAGCAAAAUACCCAUCAAUAGAGGACUGAUUAGAUAAAGUAUAAAUUCAUCCAGUCCACUAUUCUGCAGCCAUUUUUUAUAAAAAGUGAAUUCAAGCCAUAUGGGCUUAUAUGAACUAUAACACUUAAAUCACUAAAAAAAAAAAAAAAAAAAACAGAAAACUUUAUAGUGUAUAGGUUAUACAUACAUGUAUGUUUAAAAAUAGGCAUUUAGUUAUCCUGGAAAAAUGCAUAGGAAACUAGUAAAUAGUUACCUGUGGGGAGUCAAACUGAAGGCCCUCAGGGGAAGAGAACUUAUACUUUUUACGUUAUACUUUUCUUUACAGGUCCAGAUCUUGGAAUUUUUGCCAAGGACACCCAUAACUUACUUUUCCUUUCCUUCCCUCCUUCCUCCUUUCUUUUCUUCCUUUACUAAUUUUUUAAAAAAUUUAUUUAUUUGAGAAAGAGUGAGUGGGGUUGGGGAGGAGGGGCAGAGGGAGAGGGAGAAACCCAAGCAGACUCCCUGAUGAGCACGGAGCCUGACAUGCAGCUGGAUCUCACAACCCUGAGAUCAUAUGACCUGAGCCAAAAUCAAGAAUCGGCUGCUUAACGGACUAAGCCACCCAGGUGCCCCCUUCCUUUACUAUUUUCAGAUAACUUUAGACUUACAGAAGAGAUCUAAGAAAUUUCCAUAUACCCUUCCCCCAGCUUUCCCUUUUGUCAGUAUCUUACAUAACCACAGACCAUUGAUCAAAACUAGGAAAUUAACCUUGGUACCAUACUACUGACUAAAGUACAAAUCUCAUGCACAGUUUCCAGUUUUAUCCCUAAUGCCCUUAUUCUUUGCUAGGAUUCAGGCCAGAAUCACACGUUGCAUUUUGCUGUCCUGUCUCCUGAGUCUUGACUUGUCUUUCACGACCUUAACAUUUGUGAAGAGUAUUGCUUAUUUUGUAGAACAUACCUUGAUUUGGAUUUGUCUGGCAUUUUGUCCUGAUUAGAUGGACGUUCUGAAUUGCUGAGCAGGGAACCACAGAGGUGACUUGCCCUUCUCAGUGCAUCAUGUCAGGGAACACAUGACGUCAGUGUGUGUUACUGGUGGUGUUUACAUAAACGUUUUCCUUGACCACUUCACCGGGGUGAUGUCUGCUAAGAUUCUUUACUAUAAACGUGCUAAUUUUCCCUUUGUAAUUACUGUAUGUUUGGGGGAGAUAUUUUGAGACUAUGCCAGUAUCCUGUUUCUGCUUAAACAUUUUCCCACAAAUUUUGCCUCCAUUGAUCUUGUCCUCAUUAUAUAUUACUGAUUUAUUUGUGAUUUUCUAUUUGUCCCAUUCCUUCUACAUUUAUCGAGCACUUCUGCAAGGAAGAUCUGUCACUUCUCCUCAGUGUAUUUAUUUAUGCAGUUAUUUAUAUCUGUAUGGACUCAUAGAUAAUAAUUUUAUUCUUUGUCUUGUAACCCAGGGCUAUUGUUUUCUUGUUCAGGUUAUUCCAACUUUGGCCAUUGGGAGCUCUUUCGAGGUAUCUCCCCUGCCCUUUGAAUAUACUCCAACCUUUUUUUUUUUUUUUUUUUUUUUUUACACCUUUGAGACCCUCAGGAUGUUCUAACUCAUCAGGUAUUUCCCCUGCUCCAGCUCUAGGAUCAGCCAGAUCUUCAAGGAGGAUCAUGAAAUUUGAAUUAAGAUCUUUAUAGUUACUUCAUAAUGUAGAAACUGCUGUUAAAAAAAAAAAAUAGAAAGCCAAGUCUUCUAAAUAAGGUUGGUGAACAUCUCUAAAAGAAACAACUACUUUGGAGCGCCUGGGUGGCUCAGUUAAGCGUCUGCCUUUGGCUCAGGUCAUGAUCCCAGGGUCCUGGGAUCGAGCCCCACAUCAGGCUCUGCCUCAGCGGAGAGCCUACUUCUCCCUCUCCCUCUGCUGCUCCCUCUGCUUGUGCUCUCUCUCUGGCAAAUAAAUAAAUAAAAUCUUAGAAAAAAGAAAAGGAAAGAAAGAAACAACUGUUUUGAUCUCAUAUAGAUCUUAAGCCUCACACUGAUUAGGUCCUAGGAAGUUUCUUCCUAAGUACAAUUGAUUUUAAAAUUCAAAUAAAUAAAGCCUCUAGCAAGUGAGCAACCUCCCCUGCCACCACCACUUUAAUUAUAAACUGGGCCUGACUUUAACAUAAUCAGACUGGUUUUCUUGGUUGUAUUAUAACUUGGCUUUGGAUACACUUCUGAACUGCAAGUUUCAGAAAUGUUCUUAGGAUUCUAAGGACAAUAUUUAGUUGGAGGACUCCCCUCUUGUUUAAAAAAAAAAAAAUCUUCAUUCUUAAAAAGCACAACUCCAUUGAGGGAAAGAUUAUUGCCAUUUCUUUAUUCCUGUCUUGUUCUUAAGGAGUAUGGUAGAAUAUUCUUUUUAAGGAUUUUUUAAGAAAAAUUAUCAUCAAAAAUACUUAAAUAACUCCUAUGUUCUUUCCUCUGGCUUAUAAAAGGAAAUGCGAUGCAUUUGCAUUGAAAUCUGGCAAUGAUUAAUUAACUUUCUAAGCAAAGUAUAAAGAGUACAGAAAACCCAUGCAUAUUAAGUUCAGUAGCCCUGUGUGAUAGAUUUGGAAAAAUCAGUGAUCACGGUGUUUUCCCCUUCCCGUUGUACUGAAAAAAUUCUCACCUGCUGCUGUGCAGAGCUUAUAUGAAAAUACCUUUUGCUGGCAAGUCUCCAAAUUUUCUUUUAUCUAUUUAAGAAAUCCUAAUUCUAAUUUUCUGUUUGCUCAGAUUUUUAUUGUUUUUCUCUACUUCUCCUUUCUGCUUGAAUUGGUAGUUCCGAAUAGGAAGAAAAGAAGUCUACUAUUUGGAAUUUUCUUUGAUAUAUCCUUGAUUUACAUGGCAAAUAGAAAGCAGCUGUCUAUUUAAGCAUCUAAUUCUUGAAACCAUAGUCCCCUCAAGCGUCAUCUGGAAAUAAUGUAGCUUGUAAAACAAAGCUAAGAAGAAAAGGCAAUGUUUGUUUUAUGUGGGAUGAAUGAUUUCUGUUGGGGUCCUUUAAUUCGGCUAUUAUGAGGGUUAUUAAAAAGCAGUAUUACAAAAGAGGUUUAAAUGAAAAGAAUUUUUUUGAGCUGGUAUCUUAUUAUUACAGUUGAUUAUAGUCAAAGCUGCAAAUGUUUUAUAAAUGGCACUUUAUUUUUGUUUCUCUAAAUAAGACCCCAAAAAACCAGUAAUCUUGCUCAUUGUAUGAGUGGAAAUUCAACUCUUUCCUUAGUUGAUUAAAUUUAUGGAAACAAAUUAUAUUUGAGAAUUCAGCUCUGCCUGUUUUUCUAGAAAUUUCAUGGAUUUCUGGUAAAUUCUUAAGAAUCCUCACAGGAACAUUUGAGGAUCACCUUACAAAUGGAAGGACGGACAUGAAAGUGUCAGAGUUUAUCUAGACUUCAACUAUUAGAAGAUUCCAUUAACACCAGAGAGAGUUGAGCCUAAAUUAUUUAUUAAUUUAUUCAUGGAUUACUUGAGUUUUUGAGAUGUGAAUUUGGAGAUCUCAGUCAUGAGAAAUGGUACCUGUAGGGAAGUAGAAAGGCAAGUUAAUUUGGGCUUUGACCGUUGUUAGAGGCUUUUUCAUGAUUGGAAUGUGUUGGUUUUCUUCAUUUGGUAAUACUGCAAAGUAGUAUUUUUGGAAAGUUGACCUAUAAGAACUAAAUUCAGUCCUUAGAUGUACUUGGCACCAGGGAAAUGAAAUUACUUAGCAUGUUUGUUUAAUAAUCAAUGGGGCAUGGUUAAUUAUUUUCACUCAUGUGAGGCCCCUGUAAUCUUUCACUUGGUAUCUCCUGUGACCUCAAGUUUGCAUUUUGAUUGAGGUCAUGAGGAGAGUAUUGUGUUGCUCUCAAACCUAUCUUUUUUCCUGGAAUGUGCAAUGCCAGCUGACCGUUUUAGUGAUUGAAUUUUAUUUUUAUUUUUUAUUUAUUUAUUUUUUUUAAAGAUUUUUUUUUAUUUAUUUGAGAGAGAGAGAAUGAGAGACAGAGAGCAUGAGAGGGAGGAGGGUCAGAGGGAGAAGCAGACUCCCCGCCGAGCAGGGAGCCUGAUGUGGGACUCGAUCCCGGGACUCCAGGAUCAUGACCUGAGCCGAAGGCAGUCGCUUAACCGACUGAGCCACCCAGGCGCCCUAGUGAUUGAAUUAAUGACAUCCUUUUUAGGGUCAUAUUCUAAGGCUAAAAGGUACUGAGCCUUUAAUAAUUAAGGACCAUUUCUCUUAUGAAGUUGUUUCAUACUGGUCAUUAAUUCAGAUAAGAGUAAGAGUAACUUCUGUUUCAUUAUGAGUAGUGCUUCUGCUCAUUAACCAGUUCCAAGUACUAAAUUUCCCAUACCCAUUGUGAAUGCUCCAUCAUAUCAUUACUAAUAUUCCCCAGGUUAACAGUUAGUAGUAACAGUUACUAAAGAGUAAUGCAUGCAUAAACAAACUCCAUAUGGUUCUUGAAAUUCAUUAUUCUUUCAUCGCACAUGUUGUUAGCUACUACUUUUUUUAGGUACUUCUCUCUGCCCUGUGAAGAUAUCAGGAAAGAUAAAAAUCUCUGCCCUCGUGAAGCUAUGUUCUAAUGAAGAGAGAUGUAUAAUGACUGCCUGCACAGGUGAAUGAAUGAAUGAAAUGUUAGAAGGUCCCAUGGGAAAAUGAAGCAGGAUGAAGGGAUGGAGAGUGCUGGCAAUGGGAAGUUAGUAGUGUAAAUGGGUGGACAGUGAAGUGCUUGCCUCAUUGAGAAGGUAACAUUUGGGGCGCCUGGAUGACUCAGUUGGUAAGCAUCUGCCUUCGGCUCGGGUCAUGAUCCCAGGAACCUGCCCAGCGGGGAGCCCCACAUCAGGCUCCCUGCUCAGUGGGGAGCCUGCUUCUCCCUCUCCCUCUGCUGCUCCCCCUACUUGUUCUCUCUCUCCCUUCUUCUCUCUCUCCGUAAAAUAAAUAAAUAAGAUCUUAAAAAAGACAAGGUAACAUUUGAGCAAAGACAAGUAAUGUGGCUAUGCAGAAGACAUGUUCUAGCAAGAUGGAACAGGGAGUACAGAGGGCUUGAGGCAGGAGCCUCUAUCUCGAAUAAAUAAAAUCUUUAAAAAAAAAAAUUGUGGCUGGGAAGGAGAUGAUCUGGAUCAUACUGAUAAUCAUCUUAAACCACUGCUGAUUGAAGAGUAAUCCAGAAAAGUUUUAGAUAGAGCAAUAGCCUAGGAAUUAGAAGACCUGCGCUCUGUGUUUUUUACCUUUAAUUCGCUAUGAGCUUGGGCAACUUAUUUCACCAUCCUGACCCUUGAUUUCUUUGCCUUUAAAAUAUAUCUUGAAGUAGGGGAGGCUGGGGUGGCUCGGUCAGUUGAGCAACCAACUCUUGGUUUUAGCUCGGCUUGUGAUCUCAGGGGUCCUGAGAUCGAGCCCUCUGUUGGGCUCUGUGCUCAGCGGGGUGUCUGCUUGAGAUUCUCUCUCUCCCCCUCCUCUGCUCUUACACGCACGCAGUCUCUCACUCUCUAAAAUAAAUAAAUAAAUCUUUAAAAAAAAAAUCUGUCUUGAAGUAGAUAUUUUAGUGUGAUUUCCUUAACAUUAGCAUUCUCUGGUUCCAUUAUUUCCAUGAGGAUACACUGGGUAGAUAGAAAGGGAUUUGUAUAGGACUGUUGGAACGCAUACAAGAGAGUGGGUACAGACUACCAAGAGCUACCAGAUCCCUGUAGUGUGUGUGGGAGGAACCAGAAGAACCCAAAGAGAUGUCUGAGAGAUCUGAGAACAGGAGGACAGCCAGAAGGGACUCACUGGAAAGACCAGUUUGAGAAAAGCAACUGAAACUGUUAGGGGUUUUUGCAUUCUCUAAUUCAUGGUUGAGUGUAAGGCAUCUGCUGUAAGAUCUGAAGGAGUUCUAGACUGUGGGCCCUAUGAACUUUUAAAACUAAACAGCUGUAGCUUUCUUCUAGGACCAAGCCUCACACUGAGGUGAAGCUACUAGAAAUACAGCCCACAGAGGUGGUCAGGGACACUAAGCAAAGAAAAAGUUCAGAUAAAUGUAGGGUUGGAGAAGAGAACCAGGGGAUCCCAAAAAGGGCAUGGGUAUAUUUACGAACACUUCACAGAAACAAAGAAAAGGUAGCUCUCGAGUCCUGAGACUAGAAAGUGCUACCUUGACCCACUCCUUCCUCCUAAAGUGUUAAGGAAACCAACUUUGGGGGCGCCUGGGUAGCUCAGUCAGUUCGGCGUCUGCCUUUGGCUCCGGUCAUGCAUGAUCCUGGUCCUGGGAUCAAGCCCCGCAUCGGGCUCCCUGCUCAACAGGGAGUCGACUUCUCCCUCUGCCCCUCCCCCAUGCUCAUGCAUGCUCUCUCUCUCUCUCUCUCGAAUAAAUAAAAUCUUUAAAAAAAAAAAAACUAACUUCAUUAGAAAUGAGCAAAAGAGAAAUGUCAGUCAAAUCCAGUGCAAAGGUAGAAGAUAAAACAGAAUAAGGAGAACAAGAAUAUCUGUACUGAUAAUGAAAGCAUGUGAUGUACCCAUAAAAUAGAUGAAAACUAUUAAAUAACUUUUCAGAAUAACUAAAAGAAACUAAGAAAAUGACACAAGAUAAAACAGAGGCGCCUAAAAAACAAAAAAAAAAAAACAGGUGCCGAGCUGGCUCAGUCAGUGGAGUGUGUGGCUCUUGAUCUCGGGGUCGUGAGUUCGAGCCCCACGUUGGGUGUAGAGCUUACUUAAAAAAAAAAAAAGGUAAAACAGAAAAACAUAAAUCAGAAUUAUUAAAAAAGGGAUAAUUUUUUUCUAAAUAAAAUAAUCAUUUUAGAAAUGUCAGCUAUACCCAAGUAUUUACUAAGUAAAUAAAUAUAAUGGCUUAAGAGUAAUAGAAUGUGAAAAGAUGAAAAACUUGAAAGCAAAAAGGAAUGAAAGAAAAAGGCUUUGAGAGACAUUGACUAAAGAAUAUAGGCAAAGAUCCAACAACUAUAAAAUAGGAAUCCCUAAAAAAAGAGGAAAAAUACUAAAAGCUAUACUUCAAGAAAACUUUCCUUAAAUUAAGAAGAAGAAAAAAGACUCAAAACUGCAUGUGGAAAGAGCAUACUCUAUGCUUUGGACAACCAAUACCAACACAGAGAUAAAGAGAAAGCAAUCAAGGGAUAGCCAGGCAGAAAGACCAGGGCACCUUAAAGGGAAGAAAAUCAAACUAUCAAUAGACUUUGACAGCAGUGUUUUAGGCCAGAAGAAGAUGGAAUUACAUAUUGAAGAUACUCAAAGAAAGCACAUAUGAGCCAGGGGUUUUAUAUCCCACCAAGCUGACUUCCAAGUAUAACAGACAUAGACAAUCUUACUAAAUCUAGGAACUCAAAAUAUUGUAUCCUUCCUAAUAAGGACCAUCUCCCACUACUCUCUCUGAGUGGUGGUAAGCAAAGGUUUUUGAUAAAGAGCCAGAGAAUAAAUGUUUUAGACUUUGUAGGACACAUGCUAGUCUCUGUUGCCUAUCUUUGUAUGGAGAUUUAGUUUUUGUUUUUACUGGUGUAUACCCUUUAAAAAUGUAAAAACCAUUCUUAGCUCAAAAGGUCGUAUUAAAAUUGGCCACAAACACAAUUUGGCCAUGGUUCAAAGUUUGCCAACCUUUGUAAUAGAGAAAGAGCUUUAGACAACCACGAUGAUUGGACAGUCACAAAGGCUGGUGGUGAGCAUUAUCUACAUUUUUAUUAGUAGAACACUAAAUAAUACACCUAAAGGAGCAAGUAUAGUAAGUAAAGGCUGUAUUUCUAACAAUGGGGAUACAACUCUUAAAAUAUGGAGAGGAAAAUGGGGAGAAAUGUGAAAAGUAGAAUAAACUUGCUGAUUAUAGUUAACUGGGAGUUAAAGGAUAUUAUUUCAGGUCAGAUCCUGGGAGAGAAGUAGGAAGUAAAAGAAAUUAAUUAGCUAAUUUCAGUAUUGCUUAUAGUAGUGAACCAAUAGGAAAUGACAAAAAAUAAGAGAAAUUAUAUAAAGUUACUCAUAUAAAGAUUACCAUUAGAAUAAAAAUACAAACUUCCUAAAUACCAAAAAAUAUGAUUAAAAAUCAAAAUAUAAAAAAGCAAACAAAAUAGACACAUAUCAAAAGUUUAUUUAUUGAAAAGACUUAGAUACAUAUGAAUAUAACAUAAAAUUAUAUGAGAAUACUGAAACCAACCAAACUGAUCUUUAAAGCUCCAUCAACAAUAACUGGUUGAAUAACCUUCGGUGCAUUCACACAAUAACGUACUAUGCAGCUGUAAAAAUGAAUGAGAAAUAUUUCUAUAUGAAACUGUGUGCCACCACAUAAUCAUCCUCAGGAUAGGUUGUUGAUGUCCAUUUGUAUCUGUUUAUAUUUGAAAAAAACAGUGGGGGUGCCUGGCUGGUUCGGUCAGUAGAGCAUGUGACUCUUGAUCUUGGGUCCGUGAGUUCAAGCCCCACGUUGGGGUAGAGUUUUUAAGAAAAAAAAAAAAGGAAGGUAAACUAUAAAAAAAAAAAGUCUCUUUGAACAC